Mauremys reevesii (Reeves's turtle) is the source of this 1461-nucleotide long non-coding RNA. RefSeq lists it as uncharacterized. The transcript is spliced from 3 exons. The record is from RefSeq and is a predicted model, not a curated record. Lineage: Eukaryota; Metazoa; Chordata; Testudines; Geoemydidae.
AAUUUUUCAGUUUGUUGGGUCAAAGUCAAUCCUUUUUGUGUGAAUAUACAAUAGGGUCCAGCUCUCUAGGCAUCCAGUUUAAAAUCUCUGGAUUGAAGCACCAUUCUUUCAAGUUUCUCUCGUUUUGGUUUAGCCAGCUGGCUCUUAUGUUUUGAGAUCCUUUGGUGGGGGUUACUUUUAUUCAUUUUAUGUUUCCAUCUGCCCAAGAGAACAGCAUUGGGGCAUUCUUUAAGAAGGCUCAGCUCUUGGCCACUCCUGGCUGGUUGACAAUACAUUACUGUUUUGACAUAGUCCAACUUUGCCAACAUAUUUGCCACUGACUAGUUGAAUUAACUCAAGCAAUUAAUUUCCUGUUGAUAUAGUAAGAUUUAUGUGUUCACCCUAACCAUGUAUCAAAAUGGUGGGAUCCCCAUCUUGUUACACUAACAUCUGUUUUAAUAUUCUCCCUUCGUGAUGUUAUAAAGGGCAAGUUCCGGUUCCUCUGAUUUUCUGUGGGAGAAGUAGUUUCUUCACUAUGUUCCUGAAAAACUGCAGGAAUGUUGAGAUGGACUGAACAACUGUUCCAUCUGGUUUAGAUUUCUAAUUUUGGUCAGAAAUCUUGUCCAAAAUGAUCAAAACCUUGAUGGUCUCUGUGAUAAAUAACCUGAACAAUAGCAGAUCCCAUGGAAACUGAAAUUUUUGUUGAUGAGAGGAAUAAAAGGAGCUUCUGGAUUUGUGAUUCUCUUAUUGUCUCACAUACCAGUUAACAUGGCUGGACUAUACUUCCUGUCAUCUAGCAAGGGGACCAGAAGAUACUUACCUGACAUUUUCAAAGAGAGCCACAUAAUUCCCACUGAUUACAGAAAGUUGAAAAUUUCCUCUUUCUAAAUGUGGAGGUUAUGAUUCAAGUUAAUUUUAACAUUCAAAUGAGCAGUUGAGGCCUUUGAGGUAUGCCUAUCGCUAUCAAUACCCUUACAGGUAGGAGAAAAUAAAUGGGAUCAGGAGUUUCAGUCGCAAAAAACCUUAAAACACAAAAAACUAGGUCAUUUAAUACAUGACUCAGGGACCAACACAGGAUAUUGACAUAUAGUUCUGUAUUCUUCAUUGUUUUGCCCAGUCUCGUCGUAAUUGCCCCAAGUAUGUGGUUUCCACCAUUUCAUUUGAGAAACUACUUUGUAAUAUACUAGAUCUUAGGUACGAAUUUUUUUCUGAUAUUCGUCCUUUUCACCAACACCACCAAAGAAAAAAAGGCUUGUUUUCACUCUACCAUCUCCCACCCUCCAAUGUUAGUCUACAACAAUACAAUUAAAAGCAACUCUGUUAGCACUUAUUUAUGAGUUUUAUAUUCUUUCACUUCAGUUCAUUUUCAUGCAGCAUUUGGUCUGGCUAGCUGUUGUAAGUUGCUAUAUCCAAUUCUACAAAGUGUUACUGGAAAUACUUAUGUAUUCAAGUUGCUAUACACAAAUACAUUAAAUUGAGUUA